Molecule: ribosomal RNA, 346 nt
Filed under: uncultured eukaryote
Lineage: Eukaryota
Description: SSU rRNA
Rfam family: Eukaryotic small subunit ribosomal RNA
Source: RNAcentral
AUAGCGUAUAUUAAAGUUGUUGCAGUUAAAAAGCUCGUAGUUGAACCUUGGGCCUGGCUGGCCGGUCCGCCUCACCGCGUGCACUGGUCCGGCCGGGCCUUUCCUCCUGGGGAGCCGCAUGCCCUUCACUGGGUGUGCCGGGGAACCAGGACUUUUACUUUGAAAAAAUUAGAGUGUUCAAAGCAGGCCUAUGCUCGAAUACAUUAGCAUGGAAUAAUAGAAUAGGACGUGUGGUUCUAUUUUGUUGGUUUCUAGGACUGCCGUAAUGAUUAAUAGGGAUAGUCGGGGGCAUCAGUAUUCAAUUGUCAGAGGUGAAAUUCUUGGAUUUAUUGAAGACUAACUACUG